GUCAGGAAUAUGGCCAUUGUUAUAUUAUUGUUCGUUUCUGUGUGUGUUACAUUUUAACGUUGCGUCGUUUGUUUUCUCUUAUUUUUGAGUGUAAUUUCACAUUGCGAUAAGACGUGUCACGGUACUUGUCUAUCCCAAAUUCAUGUAUUUGGUUUUGAUGUUAUAUUUGUUAUUUUCGUGGGAUUUUGGUUCGUUUCUGUGUGUGUUACAUUUUAGUGUUGUGUCGUUGUUCUCCUCUUAUAUUUAAU
Molecule: long non-coding RNA, 248 nt
Filed under: Mytilus galloprovincialis (Mediterranean mussel)
Lineage: Eukaryota; Metazoa; Mollusca; Bivalvia; Mytilida; Mytilidae
Source: RNAcentral